RNAcentral lists this ribosomal RNA (595 nucleotides) under Bacillus sp. (in: firmicutes). RNAcentral's name for it is "bacterial SSU rRNA". It matches the Rfam family "Bacterial small subunit ribosomal RNA", at positions 74 to 653 of the family's 1533-position model. Lineage: Bacteria; Bacillati; Bacillota; Bacilli; Caryophanales; Bacillaceae. The record is from RNAcentral.
GGGAGCUUGCUCCCUGAUGUUAGCGGCGGACGGGUGAGUAACACGUGGGUAACCUGCCUGUAAGACUGGGAUAACUCCGGGAAACCGGGGCUAAUACCGGAUGGUUGUNUGAACCGCAUGGUUCAGACAUAAAAGGUGGCUUCGGCUACCACUUACAGAUGGACCCGCGGCGCAUUAGCUAGUUGGUGAGGUAACGGCUCACCAAGGCNACGAUGCGUAGCCGACCUGAGAGGGUGAUCGGCCACACUGGGACUGAGACACGGCCCAGACUCCUACGGGAGGCAGCAGUAGGGAAUCUUCCGCAAUGGACGAAAGUCUGACGGAGCAACGCCGCGUGAGUGAUGAAGGUUUUCGGAUCGUAAAGCUCUGUUGUUAGGGAAGAACAAGUGCCGUUCAAAUAGGGCGGCACCUUGACGGUACCUAACCAGAAAGCCACGGCUAACUACGUGCCAGCAGCCGCGGUAAUACGUAGGUGGCAAGCGUUGUCCGGAAUUAUUGGGCGUAAAGGGCUCGCAGGCGGUUUCUUAAGUCUGAUGUGAAAGCCCCCGGCUCAACCGGGGAGGGUCAUUGGAAACUGGGGAACUUGAGUGCAGAA